AGUUGGUGGAGUGAUUUGUCUGGUUAAUUCCGUUAACGAACGAGACCUCAGCCUGCUAAAUAGGUGACGCGAACCUUUGGGUUCGUGGACCACUUCUUAGAGGGACUAUUCGUGUCUAACGAAUGGAAGUUUGAGGCAAUAACAGGU
RNAcentral lists this ribosomal RNA (147 nucleotides) under uncultured fungus. RNAcentral describes it as "partial small subunit ribosomal RNA". It matches the Rfam family "Eukaryotic small subunit ribosomal RNA", at positions 1296 to 1461 of the family's 1831-position model. Lineage: Eukaryota; Fungi. The record is from RNAcentral.